Long non-coding RNA from Poecilia latipinna (sailfin molly), 5260 nucleotides. RefSeq lists it as uncharacterized. The record is from RefSeq and is a predicted model, not a curated record. NCBI's taxonomy places the organism in Eukaryota, Metazoa, Chordata, Actinopteri, Cyprinodontiformes, Poeciliidae. The transcript has 2 exons.
GUGUGUGUGUGGGGGGGGGAGGUAAGUCCUCCUAAUGGAAGACAAGUAUUGCUCAAUGUACCCUGAGCUAUUGGACCUAUGAGCAUAUUAAAAUCAAUAACAGCCUGGCAUCUUCACAACUACUCCACUUCACUUACAACGCCUGACCUGUGGAAGAAAAUUACAAAAGCUUUUUCUUUUUGUCUUUUUCUUUUUUACCCCAUCAAACAGUAUCUCUGAACAACACUUCUGGAAACCAGUCCAAAUCAGCUCAAGGCUUCAGUGGGAAAGUGGCAGCUGGCCUCAGGAAGCCCCCCAUCCAACCCCGCCGACCAGAGAGACUCCGCGGCGUGACAGCAGCAGUCACCUGGCUCUGGGUGGGUGCCUCCCACUGCAGCCUGACAAAUAUCACGGACAAACUGCCCGGCAACUGUCGGCUGCUGGAGAGAGCCGACUGCCUGACCCGCAUGCUGAUUUUGGGGAGAAAGCCUUCCUUAGAGGAUUACUGACAGGAGAAAAUGGUGAAAGGUUCAAAAUUAAUUUCGAAAUCAAGAUGCUUUUUAAGUUUAGAUUUUUUAAAUAGAAUAGUGUAAAAAGCAAAAAAUCAAAUUUUUUUAAAAUGAAAAAUAGAGCAAAGCGUUCUGCACUGUAACCAUGGCAGCAGUGGAAAGGAGUCAACUGGCUCGCGGUGUUUCAAUGUUGACACGCGCUAAUCGUGUGAAGCCAAUUGAACGCAACGCGGCCUCCGAUGGCCGCGAGUGAGCCCCGGCUUGCAAAACGCGGACGUGGUCAACAGAUUGAGUGGUGUUUGCGUUGCGGACACCGGGACUGCUCGCUCCAGUUAACACUGUUGUCACCAGGAAAUGUUAGAGUGAGCAAUAUCGCUGAUAAGGCGGAGCGUGGUGUCUCGAUGAUGUAGCGUGAUCAGCGUUUGGGUCGCGACGAGGCUGAAGGCCUCGAUUCUAUGAAAACCGGUGUGGUUUCUAUGGUGUUCCUUAUCUUGGAUUGGCGGAGAGACGUCAUUGUAAAUCAACGUUUAAUGUGAGUGGAAAUAAUUGUCUGACUUGCUGAAUUUGUUAGUUUGCUCGUUUACAAGAAACGAGCAGUUUCCCGUCUUUAUGGUACUUUGUUUUCAUGGUAGUGGACAAGAUCCAUCCAUCCAUUCAUUCACCGUCUGUCUACCUCACCCAGACAUGUUGUCACUCCAUCACAUAUGAGACAAGAUAUAAACUAAAAAUCCAAGAAAUAUAAUUACAAAAAAGUAAAAAAUGUCAUCAGGUGUUAGACUGAAAUAGUUGUCAGAUCCCCUACAUUCAAAGACGAUUUUGCCACUCAAACUUUUUCACAUUAGAUGUAUUUUCUUGGGAUUUUAUGUGUGGUGGAUAGUGCGCAACUGUAAGUGAAAGGAAAAUGAAAAAUUUGAAAAGUGUGGCAUGCAUCUGUAUAGUUCCCCUCAGAUGUCCAAUUGUUUUGUUAAAAUUCUGGACGUCUUUUGAGGAAACAGAUUUUUUUCCUCCCUCCGAUUCGGCCAUGAGUUUCUGUGAGCCUUGCUUUUCUAGUCUUGUCACACAUUCUAAGUUAGGUCUAGAUCUGCACUUCAACUAGGCCAUUCUAGCACAAGAACAUGUUACGAUCUAAGCUGCCGCUGCUACUGCUGGAAGGCGAUCAUUCACCCAAGACUUAAACCUUCUGUGCAGAUUUUCUUAUUGUUUGUUCACAUCAAUCUGUUUAGAUUCCCAGAAGAAUCAAGACUUGAUAAACGUGUGAAUGAAUGGAGGACGGUUGAAAUAGUGAAGCUGCAAUAACAGCUGUCUUGAAAAUGAACAAGUUGAAGUAUCCAGGGUCAAAUGUGUACAAAACCGAGGCGACGAAGAGAAUGAUAGUAAAGUAGAUUGGUAUCAAGGAUGUUUUGACACCAACUUGUCCUUUGCUAUGAUGGUUGUCACCUCCAUUUGUCUCUGAGUUAGCCAUUGUAGACUGACCACCUGUGCAGGAAGCACCUCGUCACUCACCCAAUGACCUCAGCCAAUGAUCGUGACCCUGCUCAGGUAAGCAGCUGUAGCUAGUGGAUGGACUGAUGCUCAGACCUUGAUGUCCAGUUGUUUUGUUAAAAGGCUGGACGUCUUUUGAGGAAACGGCUUUUUUUCCUCCCUCCGAUUCGGCCAUGAGUUUCUGUGAGCCUUGCUUUUCUAGUCUUGUCACACAUUCUAAGUUAGGUCUAGAAUGUGUGACAAGACUGGGAGAGUUAUUCCUCUUCUCAGAAUAAGUCACCCAGUAAUUUAUGGACAUCAGCCUUAUGAAUUUGGAUGAGAACAUCGAGUUCAUUUCAUGAAAGACUCUGGCGCACCUGAGGCAGCAUCGCCAAGAUGACCUAUUUUGUAAACUGAAAACGUGACCUACAAAUAUAGAUUGGACGUUUGUUUUGGGAGGUCAGCAUUACGCCAGAUUUAGACGCACUAUCCUAAAGCCUUUUUAUAUUACAGCUCAAGAUCAGUCUGGGCCAUGCAGCUUGGAGACUAAACCAGUACUUAGGUUGACUUUAAUACUGUUUUUAUUAAGUACAAGGAUGUAGCAUUAUUUAUGGAUGCUACAGACAAGUGAUGUCUAUCUGGGUCGGUCUUGCAGAGAGAGCAACUUUAAAAUGUGUGUAUGGUGGUUAUUUAUUCUGUGAUUCAUAUAGAAAGGGGGGGAAAACCUAAUGGCUUUUGUCCAAAAAUAACGAAUUUAUACAGUUUCAAAUGUUGUAAUUUGAGCCAUUUAUUAAGUUUUAUCUCAUAAAAAAAAACAUAAUGGAAACUGAGAAGUGUAAUUUAUGACUUUUAAUGCAUCUGGGAGCAGUUAAAAAAAUUCUUUAAAAUGUUAUUGUCGUGUCCAAGUAUCUUGACCUAAAGUUGACUCAAUGUUCAAGUCCCUUGGGAUGCACUUACUCUCAAAAAUUAACUCUGCACUAAUAAAUGCUCACAGGGGAUGGGGGUGGGGGGUUAUCUGGUUCAUUUUGCAUGAGCACACAGUGGGAGAGAAUGCAAAUUAAGACACAAAUCCAGUCUGACUGCUUUUAUUGUUUUCUGCCUUCUCAGUCGAUGCAUUUAGUGCGAAGAACCCUUUUCCAGUUGCAACAUCUCAAGAUGUUUCUUUUGGAGGCUAAAUACAGCCCAUGCACCGCUUCUGAAAAACCAAAAUCCUCUACAGUCAGUCAGUUGGUGGCAUUAUUCUUGAUUUGUGCUACAAACACGUAAACCAUAAAUCAAACCUAAAAAACCUUAUUCCUUCAUAAUCCUUGGAUGUGCUGCAUCGAUUGCUGGACACUUCUGUCCAGAUUUUUUGGUUGUUGUGUUUGCUACAUUGCAAAAAUGCUAUAUCUAAUCCCAUCACUUAGUCAAAAAUCUCCUAAAAAUCUUCUAUGGAGAUGAAGUCGAAUAGAAUAUCCAUCUUCUGACAAUUCUGAAAAUGAGAAGACUCAGGCAGCAUAAAGACACAUUAAUAUCCAGUUACCACCAACUAGGCAUUUCUUAGAUGUGGAUACAAUUAAAUGAAAUUCCUUUUUCAAGUUAGAGCAAGUAUAGCAAAUGUGCCAAACAUUCAACUCUAGAGUGUGCUGUAAUUAAUAGAAAUUAAUAUUUUGGCUAGAUGUUGUCGGACUUGCCUUGACGCACGGCUCUAGCUCUGGAACCAGGCCCCUCAAGAUGGGUUGGACAAUUUUCCACUUCUUGAGAGGCCAGAAGUGACCAAGUUCAUUGGUUCCUCUACUUUGGAGUCCACUCUGUAACUCAGAUUCUUUUCUGGAGUCCCUGGAGGGGACGCCAAGCACUCCUGCCUUGUUCUGCUGGGGGACAUCAACCUUCACAUGGGCAAUGACAGUGAGACCUGGAGGGAUAUGAAGAAUUGGACACCUGUGCUUGUUACAGAUUAUCUAUAAAGAACACCAUGUUCAAGCAAGAGGAAUGGCAUCUUAGGCUGCAGUUUAACAAUUGACUUUGUGGUCGAUUCAUCUGAUCUGCAGCCGCAAAUCUAGGACACUCAGGGGAAGGGGAGGGUUGUGAUGGUAGAGGAAGAUGCCCAAACGUAUUGUGCGGCUCUGGUGGUAACGUCUGGCAGAGUCUCUUGUCUGAUGGAGUUUCAACUCUCACACCUGGGAGGGCUUCAAAUACUUCCUAUCAAUCAUACGUUCCAGAAGAUUUGUUUUUUACUCGCUCUACGGUUACAACAAGUGACAUGCUGGGUUUGCUUGGGGCUCAGGCUUCCAAUUCGAGUUGAUUAGUGUUGGAUAGGAAUUGGAUGCAACGUCUAUGGGCAAGAGCCAGGUCAGGUUGGAUUGUUUUAUGCCCGAACUAAACUCGAAAGUCUGGUACUCUGCUUAUGGCUGAUGCUCGUACGAUCUGACCACUGACGAUGACAGAUAAACGGACUGACGGACGGAUGGAGGUUGGGUUAUUUUUGGAGGUUAUAAUAGAGGUGGCAAAACAGUUGUUUUGUUUAGUAUUGCUUCCAAUAGCAUGUGGCGUCACCAUAUUUUGAUGUGCAGUCAUCCAUGAUGGAAAUGCAUCGUCACAGCUUUCCCCUUCAGUGCCGAGUCCGGUGUAGGUUUAAACCCAAUGUAGCUGCUAAAACCAAAAAACCCCAACAACUAAUAAUCUAAUUCUUCAUAAAGGAAUGAGAAACUUACUAAACUGGGCAAUGAAAAUCAUUAUUACACAAUGCAGAUCACAUGUAUACACUGAUGUGGGGUGUCAAACAGGAAGGGCGACGACAUUUGGUGGGACACUGGGGCACACAAAGGGAAGAGCUACAGGAGUGAGGUGCGGCGGGUGCAGUCGCUAAGGGGGGCAGCUUGAACUCGGUACAUAACGUCUUGCAGUUCAGAUUCAGUCCUCCACCCAAUGCCUCAGUCAAUUAUGGCUCACAAACUGAUGUAGCGCGCUUACAAUAUUUUAGCACUUACCAAAACUAUGCCGACAAUGUUUGCAGAGCUCGCUCCACACUGAGUUUGAACCUGAAUGCAUGCCUCAACCUUUUGGCCACAUGUUAUCAAUCUGUGUUUGCACUUGGAGACCUCUCGAGAAAAUCCUCACUCUCUAUUCAACAUUGUGACAAUCUCUUGAGCAGUCCUCAAAAUUUAUACCCAGAGCCAGGGGGUUCGGCACUUUGUUGUGUAAAAGCAGCCGUCAGGUUAGAUUUUUAGAUGUCUCGUCAUCUCCUCUGUGACACAUUAUCCAAUCUUUGGAUGCGUUUAAAAUUUUCCUGUUGCACAAAUGCUUUUUUUUAAUAUACAUAUUUCUCCCUA